GGACCGGUAGCUCAGUCUGGUUAGAGCAGCAGUCUUAUAAACUGCAAGUCGGUGGUUCGAGUCCACUCCGGUCCACCA
This 78-nucleotide transfer RNA is filed under the name Candidatus Terrybacteria bacterium RIFCSPLOWO2_01_FULL_40_23. Its description in RNAcentral is "tRNA-Ile". It matches the Rfam family "tRNA". From Rfam's summary of the family: Transfer RNA (tRNA) molecules are approximately 80 nucleotides in length. Their secondary structure includes four short double-helical elements and three loops (D, anti-codon, and T loops). Lineage: Bacteria; Candidatus Terryibacteriota. The record is from RNAcentral.